RNAcentral lists this transfer RNA (72 nucleotides) under Marmota monax (woodchuck). RNAcentral's name for it is "tRNA.Ala". Lineage: Eukaryota; Metazoa; Chordata; Mammalia; Rodentia; Sciuridae. The record is from RNAcentral.
GAAUGUAGUAGCUCAGUGGUAGAGCACUUGACUAGCAUGUGUGAGGCCCUGGGUUCAAUCCCCAGUAACUCA